Non-coding RNA from Priapulus caudatus, 72 nucleotides. The record is from the annotation of a RefSeq genome assembly. Lineage: Eukaryota; Metazoa; Priapulida; Priapulimorpha; Priapulimorphida; Priapulidae.
UCCCAUAUGGCCUAGUGGUUAGGAUUCGGCGCUUUUACCGCCGCGGCCCGGGUUCGAUUCCCAGUGUGGGAA